This 1443-nucleotide ribosomal RNA is filed under the name uncultured organism. Its description in RNAcentral is "SSU rRNA". It matches the Rfam family "Bacterial small subunit ribosomal RNA". The record is from RNAcentral.
CGCUAGCUACAGGCUUAACACAUGCAAGUCGAGGGGCAGCAUUUCAGUUUGCUUGCUCACUGGAGAUGGCGACCGGCGCACGGGUGAGUAACACGUAUCCUACCUGCCGAUAACUCGGGGAUAGCCUUUCUAAAGAAAGAUUAAUACCCGAUGGUAUAAUCAGACCGCAUGGUCUUGUUAUUAAAGAAUUUCGGUUAUCGAUGGGGAUGCAUUCCAUUAGGCAGUUGGUGAGGUAACGGCUCACCAAACCUUCGAUGGAUAGGGGUUCUGAGAGGAAGGUCCCCCACAUUGGAACUGAGACACGGUCCAAACUCCUACGGGAGGCAGCAGUGAGGAAUAUUGGUCAAUGGGCGCAAGCCUGAACCACCCAAGUAGCGUGAAAGAUGACUGCCCUAUGGGUUGUAAACUUCUUUUAUAUGGGAAUAAAGUUUUCCACGUGUGGAAUUUUGUAUGUACCAUAUGAAUAAGGAUCGGCUAACUCCGUGCCAGCAGCCGCGGUAAUACAGAGGAUCCGAGCGUUAUCCGGAUUUAUUGAGUUUAAAGAGAGCGUAUGUGGACAGUUAAGUCAGUUGUGAAAGUUUGCGGCUCAUCCGUAAAAUUGCAGUUGAUACUGGCUGUCCUGAGUACAGUAGAGGUGGGCGGAAUUCGUGGUGUAGCGGUGAAAUGCUUAGAUAUCACGAAGAACUCCGAUUGCGAAGGCAGCUCACUGGACUGCAACUGACACUGAUGCUCGAAAGUGUGGGUAUCAAACAGGAUUAGAUACCCUGGUAGUCCACACAGUAAACGAUGAAUACUCGCUGUGUGCGAUAUACAGUAAGCGGCCAAGCGAAAGCAUUAAGUAUUCCACGUGGGAGUACGCCGGCAACGGUGAAACUCAAAGGAAUUGACGGGGGCCCGCACAAGCGGAGGAACAUGUGGUUUAAUUCGAUGAUACGCGAGGAACCUUACCCGGGCUUAAAUUGCAUUUGAAUAUAUUGGAAACAGUAUAGCCGUAAGGCAAAUGUGAAGGUGCUGCAUGGUUGUCGUCAGCUCGUGCCGUGAGGUGUCGGCUUAAGUGCCAUAACGAGCGCAACCCUUAUCUUUAGUUACUAACAGGUCAUGCUGAGGACUCUAGAGAGACUGCCGUCGUAAGAUGUGAGGAAGGUGGGGAUGACGUCAAAUCAGCACGGCCCUUACGUCCGGGGCUACACACGUGUUACAAUGGGGGGUACAGAAGGCAGGUACCUGGUGACAGGAUGCUAAUCCCAAAAGCCUCUCUCAGUUCGGAUGGAAGUCUGCAACCCGACUUCGUGAAGCUGGAUUCGCUAGUAAUCGCGCAUCAGCCAUGGCGCGGUGAAUACGUUCCCGGGCCUUGUACACACCGCCCGUCAAGCCAUGAAAGCCGGGGGUACCUGAAGUACGUAACCGCAAGGAGCGUCCUAGGGUAAAACUGGUAAUUGGGGC